GAUGAACGCUGGCGGCGUGCCUAAUACAUGCAAGUCGAACGUGAUCCUCGAUUUCGGUUGAGGUGAAAGUGGCGUACGGGUGAGUAACACAUGGCUGACCUGCCCUUCAGAGGGGGACAACUGCUGGAAACGGCAGCUAAUACCCCAUACGCUCGUCCGGGUUAGAGGCUGGGCGAGGAAAGGCUGAGGUGCUGAAGGAGGGGGCUGUGGCCCAUCAGCUAGUUGGUAGGGUAACGGCCUACCAAGGCGAGGACGGGUAGGGGACCUGAGAGGGUGACCCCCCACACGGGCACUGAGAGACGGGCCCGACUCCUACGGGAGGCAGCAGUAAGGGAUAUUGCGCGAAUGGGCGAAAGCCUGACGCAGCAACGCCGCGUGCGGGAAGAAGGCCUUCGGGUUGUAAACCGCUUUUCUAGGGGAAGAGGGAGGACGGUACCCUGGGAAUAAGUCUCGGCUAACUACGUG
RNAcentral lists this ribosomal RNA (465 nucleotides) under uncultured bacterium. RNAcentral describes it as "bacterial SSU rRNA". It matches the Rfam family "Bacterial small subunit ribosomal RNA", at positions 28 to 507 of the family's 1533-position model. The record is from RNAcentral.